UGGGGUGUGGCUCGGUGGUAGAGAGCUUGCCUUGCAUGCACAAGGCCCUGGGUUUGAUCCCCAGCACCAAAA
Molecule: transfer RNA, 72 nt
Filed under: Cavia porcellus (domestic guinea pig)
Lineage: Eukaryota; Metazoa; Chordata; Mammalia; Rodentia; Caviidae
Rfam family: tRNA
About the family: Transfer RNA (tRNA) molecules are approximately 80 nucleotides in length.
Source: Rfam by way of RNAcentral